GAACUCGACGAGUAGGGCGGGACACGUGUUAUCCUGUCUGAAUAUGGGGGGACCAUCCUCCAAGGCUAAAUACUCCUGAUUGACCGAUAGUGAACCAGUACCGUGAGGGAAAGGCGAAAAGAACCCCGGCGAGGGGAGUGAAAAAGAACCUGAAACCGUGUACGUACAAGCAGUAGGAGCCUCUUUAUGGGGUGACUGCGUACCUUUUGUAUAAUGGGUCAGCGACUUAUAUUCUGUAGCAAGGUUAACCGUAUAGGGGAGCCGUAGGGAAACCGAGUCUUAACUGGGCGAAUGAGUUGCAGGGUAUAGACCCGAAACCCGGUGAUCUAUCCAUGGGCAGGUUGAAGGUUGGGUAACACUAACUGGAGGACCGAACCGACUAAUGUUGAAAAAUUAGCGGAUGACUUGUGGAUGGGGGUGAAAGGCCAAUCAAACCGGGAGAUAGCUGGUUCUCCCCGAAAGCUAUUUAGGUAGCGCCUCGUGAACUCAUCUUCGGGGGUAGAGCACUGUUUCGACUAGGGGGUCAUCCCGACUUACCAACUCGAUGCAAACUGCGAAUACCGAAGAAUGUUAUCACGGGAGACACACGGCGGGUGCUAACGUCCGUCGUGAAGAGGGAAACAACCCAGACCGCCAGCUAAGGUCCCAAAGUCAUGGUUAAGUGGGAAACGAAGUGGGAAGGCUCAGACAGCCAGGAUGUUGGCUUAGAAGCAGCCAUCAUUUAAAGAAAGCGUAAUAGCUCACUGGUCGAGUCGGCCCGCGCGGAAGAUGUAACGGGGCUAAACCAUGCACCGAAGCUGCGGCAGCGACACAAUGUGUUGUUGGGUAGGGGAGCGUUCUGUAAGCCUGCGAAGGUGUACUGUGAGGUAUGCUGGAGG
Molecule: ribosomal RNA, 878 nt
Filed under: Staphylococcus aureus
Lineage: Bacteria; Bacillati; Bacillota; Bacilli; Caryophanales; Staphylococcaceae
Description: partial 23S ribosomal RNA
Rfam family: Bacterial large subunit ribosomal RNA
Source: RNAcentral